Molecule: non-coding RNA, 3536 nt
Organism: Camellia sinensis
Lineage: Eukaryota; Viridiplantae; Streptophyta; Magnoliopsida; Ericales; Theaceae
Source: RefSeq, a predicted model, not a curated record
AAAAAGUUAUUUGGUUUGGUCAUCAAAUGCAACAAUUGCGAAAUUGGCCAUGAACUCCACAGUUGCAGUGCUGUUAGAUACUGGAAAUCUUGCUCUCAGACAUGGUGAGACGGGCACUGUAUUAUGGCAGAGUUUUGAUUAUCCAACUGAUACGCUCAUUCCUGGCAUGAAACUUAGCUUGAAUAGGAAAACUGGCCAGCAAAGCCUUCUGUACUCGUGGGCCAACAAUGCAAAUCCUCGACCAGGAAUGUUCUCCAGAGGUAUAGAUCCUGAAGGUGUCCACAGAUUUUCAUUUGGAAGCAACAUCGCCCCUUUUGGAAAAGUACUGUAUACGACUAUAGUUUGGUUUAUAUAGAUCACAUACAUCAAGGGUUUGCCUCGUUUUUAACUUUCAUCAAAGAAAGUGAUGAAAUUUAUCUCACUUGCUGUGUAUCAGAAAACUUGCUUAAAGUAAGAGUCACUUUAACUCCUACUGGGCAAGCUCAGCUGCUGUUUUGGGCACAAAGUAGCAAUUCAUGGGUAGUUGAUUUUUAUGGGUAUUGUGGUCCAUUUAGUAGCUGUGAGCAAAAUGGAUGGAUUGCAUCCAUUUUGCAGUUGUUUGGAGGGUUUUGAGCCCAGAGAUCAGAAAGAAUGGAAUCUUGGAAAUUAGACAGGAGGCUGUGCCAGGAAGAUGGAAUUGACAUGUGAUAAGGGAGAUUGGUUUUUUAAGUUUGAAAGAACUAGAUUGCCUGAUUAUUCAGUGUCUCUGGGAAAUGUCCUGACAACUGCUCUUGCACAGCUUACACUUAUGCUAGUCUAACUAUAGAAACCACUGUGCACUGUAUGAAUUGGUUUGGGGCUUUGGUGGAUCUAAAUCAUAAUGCCUUCAUUGGUAAAGAUCUUUAUGAUCGCCUUCAUAGCUCUGACCAAGGUAUGUAUGAUAUCUUGCUUGAUUUCUGUUCAAGGCACUGUUUUUCUAAAUUUUAGCCCAAGUCAUGUAGUUUGUGAUGAGCUAAUUUUCUGUGUUUUGUUAUUCUUGUGUAGUUAGUAAUGCUAAGACUGGUAACUUGACCCCUAAAAGAAGAAUUUUUAUUGCAAUUGCAGCAGCUGCUAUCUCUACAGGAUUGCUAUUUAUUAGUAUCAUCGGCUAUGUCUUAACAGGUUGAGAAAUCCAGGGGAAUUUUCCUGAACUACAAUUAGCAGCUAUAAAAAGACUCUCAAAAAAAUCAUUGCAAGGAAUUGAAGAGCUCAUGAAUGAGCUGAAACUUACUGCCAAACUCCAACAUAAAAAUCUUGUCAGACUAUUGGGUUGUUGUAUGCCUUAAGCUGAAUGAGCUGAAACUUCCUAUUUUAUCCUUCUAAGCAAGACAAUGUGAAUUGGAGUAAUUGCUUCCAGAUUAUAGAAGGGAUUGGUCAGGGUCUUAUUUACCUUCGUAAGUAUUCUAGACUGAAAGUCAGUCACAGGGAUUCAAAAGCAAGCAAUAUUCUGUUCAAUGAAGCUUUGAAUCCCAAAAUUUUGGACUUUGGAACUGCAAGGAGUUUCAGAAUAAAUCAAACUGAUGCAAAUGCUAGGCCGGUGGUGGGCACAUAGUAAGUAUAGCAGAUAUUUCCAUUCAUCUGAACUUUAAAUAAGAUAAGUUUAUUUUAUACUACUGCAGAAAAUAUAAUGCUACUGCUGCUACUGUCAGCAUGGCUGUUAACAUUGUCAUUGGUGAUGCAAUGGUUACAUGUCACCAGAAUAUGCAUUGUCUGGGCAAUUUUAUGAGAAAUCAGAUGUAUUCAGUUUUGGAGUGUUAUUGUUAGAGAUUGUGAGUGGUAAGAGAAGCACUAAUUCUCAUCAAACCUGAACAUUCUCUAACCCUUAUAGGAUGGGUAAGUAUGCUAUGUCUCUUUUUUUCAUCCACUUAUGUUGGUUAUUUGUUUUUUGGAUAUAUAAGAUAAGUAUUAACUAUGAAAUUUUAUUUUGGAUGGCUUUAAUUUGUUCAAGGCAUGGAAGAAUUGGAAAGAAGGUAGUUGUUUGAAGUUAAUUGAUCCAUCAAUAAGGGAUAUAUGCAAUCUUCAGGAGGCAUUGAAACGCAUUGCUGUAGGGCUAUUGUGUGUUCAAGAAUUUCUGAGUGAUUGACCAACAAUUUAUGCAGCAAUUCUCAUGUUGAGAAAUGAAAAUGCUUCAGUUCCAUCACCCAAAGCACCUGCCUUUUCUACUUAUACGAAUUCCAACACUGCCUACUAUUCUUCUCAAACAUCUAAUUGCUAUUUCAACAAUGAAGUGACAAUUACCACGCUAGAGGCUCAAUAAGAAGCUCUCAAUUUUCAACUACACAGAAAGAUUUCCAUAAAGAUGAACUGCAUACAGAACUGAUGUCUCCGGUAGAGUAGGUUAUGGUAGUAGUAUUAGCAAGUGCACAAGAAGCAUACAUAUGAUGACAUUGUCACUUCCAUGUAUACAAUUUAUACUAGUAAAAAUUAAUAGAAGUUCUUCUCAUUAAUGUAAUUAUCAAUAUUGUAUAAAUACUAUGCUAGUAUCAGAAUGAAGAACAAGUUUAUUUUUUCUUGCUUAUUGGACAAAGCUGAGAGUGAUCUUGGAGACAAUCAUAUACCUUUGGCUCAAUAACUUAGAUUUGAUUAUACAACUAACAUCAUUAGUCUUGAUUUAAAGAUGAUUGAAAAACAUCAUUGAGUAAACCAUGAGAGGGUUAGAUCAAGUAGAAUUUAUCCAUUUCCUCACGCCAUUAUUUUCAGGGUAAUUUGCUUGAAAUUAAAGAAGCUAAGCCAUAAAAAGGCUAUCUAAAAAGGCAAUAUUACAAGAACUAGAGGAGUACAUGAAUGAGUUGAAACUUAUUGCCAAACUCCAACACACAAAUUAAUCUUGUUAGGCUUUUUGGGAUAUUGACAUAUACCGAUCUAUUGAAUAGAUGCCUAUUCUGUACAUUUUAAAUAUGUCUUUCCUAACCUCUCUCACAUUUUUAGUUCAGAUUUUCUCCAAGAUGCUUAAUAUCGGAAAAAUAUUGACAUCUCAAUUACACUCAUUGGAGCCCUAUACCAAUGUCAAUGUGGGACAAGCCCACUUUUUUCUCAAAGAAAAAUCUUGUUUUGAGGUGGCACUUGCAUUGUGCCUUUUUGCUCCAGGUUCUAACUUAUUGACUUUUGCAUUUUCCAUUAUAUAAAACUUAGUAGGAAAAGAAAUCUCAUCAGUGGCAUGCGUUUACCUCCUUCACUAAUUAUCUUUACUACUUUCUUAGUGCUAAUUCCUUCUUAUAGUUGCUGUCACUUUCACAAUGAAGCAUUAAUUUUCUAGCCUUUUUUUUCCCCCCUUUUAUUAUUCUUCCUAUCUAACACAAUAAUGGUAUCAUAUAAGCCACCAGCCAUAUCUUAUAUCUAUCUAAAUAUAAGUGUCCUUGUCAUAACUAUUAGCAAGCUUGAUCUUCUUUACAUUUUGGUUAAUAUUUUCUCCAAAAUGCAUAAUUGUCAAUGUGGGAGCCCUCACAAGGUUUGGGCUUAAAAGGCUGUGUUUCGAUUUUGACUUAUUGCUCUUAGCUCUACUUUGCCAAAUUUUCACC